Molecule: small nuclear RNA, 177 nt
Filed under: Varanus komodoensis (Komodo dragon)
Lineage: Eukaryota; Metazoa; Chordata; Lepidosauria; Squamata; Varanidae
Description: U2 spliceosomal RNA (ENSVKKG00000012199.1)
Rfam family: U2 spliceosomal RNA
About the family: U2 is a small nuclear RNA (snRNA) component of the spliceosome (involved in pre-mRNA splicing).
Source: Rfam by way of RNAcentral
AAAGCUUGUCGGCCUUUUGGCUAAGAUCAAGUGUAGUAUCUGUUCUUAUCAGUUUAAUAUCUAAUUCUUUGGCCAGGACGACUUAUUUUAUAUUGUAAAUUCAUUUUAUAUUUUUAAUGUAUUAUAUUUUAAUGUUUUGUGAGCCACCCCAAGGCUUCGGCGAAUGGGGCAACAUAG